AUUUGGGAUCCUCUGGCAACAAUAGCAGCUGGUCUUGUAACACGUAGAACGACAAGUUGAGACAUAUGGCACUGACAUUAGCAUAAUUUUUAUUAGAUUAAUCUUGAUUCUUGAAUAUCAUCUAUUAUAAGCAUUUAGGUUUGACCGUCUGAGGUUUGGACUGGGGCAGCUUUCUUAUCAUCCGUUCAACCCUGCUAUUCAGAUAUUUCCUCCC
RNAcentral lists this long non-coding RNA (214 nucleotides) under Setaria italica (foxtail millet). RNAcentral's name for it is "long non-coding RNA (SITA_LNC006125)". Lineage: Eukaryota; Viridiplantae; Streptophyta; Magnoliopsida; Poales; Poaceae. The record is from RNAcentral.